CAUCUACCCCGAUCCAGAUCCCCCACCUCCCUCCCGCACCUCCUGCCCCAAACCGGCAACGCGCCCGCCACCCCGCCCCCAACGGCGGUGGCGCCGCCACCGGCCGACAUCACCCCCUCUUCCCGAGAUCCUCUUCGACGCCACUACACCACCGGCGAACCUCGCGCGCCGCCGCCCGCUGCAAACCUCGCGCGCCACGGCCUCUUACCGAAUCCAAUCGGCGGAGCUCGCCACGGCAACCACCGCGUUCUUCCUCUCGCCGCCGCCCUGGAGAGGAACCUCCCAAACAUGCGCCACGGUGGAGCUCGCCUGCCCCAGUGCCUCUUCUCCACGCAUGCCCUUCUUCCUCGCCGGAGCUGAUGUGGGCCGCCACAUCACCCCGCUGGCCGGGACCCCCCUCCCCUGCCCCCGCGCCGUCCUGGCCGGCCACACUGACCUUCUCAUGAGAGCCACCUUGACCUUCCUGGAAUAAGGUUCAUCCAUGGAGCGGCCGCUCCCGCCCCUCCAUCUCCGGCGAGGUGCGCCAUCCCCUCCUUCAGUGCCCCCUUCGGGUGAAGCUCCACGCCACCACCAUCGUCACGCCAUUCCAGCCACCAGCACGCACAUGUUGUUCUCCUCGUCACGGCCAACCUGAACUUCCUGAGGUAGUUCCCUUUUUUGCUUUUUUGUAUAAUUAAUCUAGGUCUUGGGGCGGCAGGAUCUUGAUUUCAUUUUUGCUUGGCUCAUUGCUUGAAAGAUUAGCCGUUUGAGUGAGAAAAUAAGGGCCCUUUGCAUUUGUUUGGCGUGUAUUGGUUUAUUCAGUUUUCACUUUGCAAGAAAGAGCUUUGUUUUCUCUCGUAUCUAAAUUUUUAGAUGCUACUAUUAGGUGUACUAUUAGUACUCUCGUUUAUCGUUGCUAGCUAUGUGCUUUCAGGAACUCUCCGAGAAUUAAUAAACUCUCUGCUUUUGUCACAACUCUCGGCCUUGUUGUCUCCUCUGCCUGUUCUCUGCUUUACAGCGUCUCAAUAGCCAUGGAGAAACCUGAAGAUGCAGUUGGAGAAAAGGAAGGGCUAAAGAGUGUAAGGCGUCAUGGACUAGUGGUAAAACAAGCUUUCUUGUACCAAUGAUGAAGGAGUGUGGAUGCAACAAACUUCUGUGGUCAAAAUUGAUGGACAAAGGAGUUGCAGCACACAGAGCAAAACCUAUCUCAGGUACCUCUCACACUAAGGGAGUGACAGCGCCGGGGAGAGCAGCACAACAACGAUGACGAAUGCCAGAACGUACAGGUGGUGCUCCGACAAGAGGCCGUGCUUGCCGUCGGCCUCCUUUGCAUCUUCUUCCACGAGUGUUUCUAGUAGGGCUCGAUGUUUAUUAAAAAAGAGUAAGACAUUUACACUUUUCUUCAGGAAGACAUUUGUAAGUCAAAAAACAUGAACUUUUCUUCAACAACGAUGUAAUGCCUGAGAACAAAGUUCUGCUAUGCCUGAGAAUAUAUGAAGUACGUGGCUGGUGUUUAUGCAAA
Molecule: long non-coding RNA, 1501 nt
Organism: Triticum aestivum (bread wheat)
Lineage: Eukaryota; Viridiplantae; Streptophyta; Magnoliopsida; Poales; Poaceae
Exons: 2
Source: RefSeq, a predicted model, not a curated record